Molecule: ribosomal RNA, 509 nt
Filed under: uncultured bacterium
Lineage: Bacteria
Description: partial 16S ribosomal RNA
Rfam family: Bacterial small subunit ribosomal RNA
Source: RNAcentral
UGGGGAAUAUUGCACAAUGGGCGAAAGCCUGAUGCAGCAACGCCGCGUGAGUGAUGAAGGCCUUCGGGUUGUAAAGCUCUGUCUUUUGGGACGAUAAUGACGGUACCAAAGGAGGAAGCCACGGCUAACUACGUGCCAGCAGCCGCGGUAAUACGUAGGUGGCAAGCGUUGUCGGAUUGACUGGGCGUAAAGGAUGCGUAGGCGGAUUUUUAAGUGAGAUGUGAAAUACCCGGGCUUAACUUGGGUGCUGCAUUUCAAACUGGGAAUCUAGAGUGCGGGAGAGGAGAAUGGAAUUCCUAGUGUAGCGGUGAAAUGCGUAGAGAUUAGGAAGAACACCAGUGGCGAAGGCGAUUCUCUGGACCGUAACUGACGCUGAGGCAUGAAAGCGUGGGUAGCAAACAGGAUUAGAUACCCUGGUAGUCCACGCCGUAAACGAUGAGUACUAGGUGUAGGAGGUAUCGACCCCUUCUGUGCCGCAGUUAACACAAUAAGUACUCCGCCUGGGAAGU